AUCCUGGCUCAGAUUGAACGCUGGCGGCAGGCCUAACACAUGCAAGUCGAGCGGUAGCACAGAGAGCUUGCUCUCGGGUGACGAGCGGCGGACGGGUGAGUAAUGUCUGGGAAACUGCCUGAUGGAGGGGGAUAACUACUGGAAACGGUAGCUAAUACCGCAUAACGUCGCAAGACCAAAGUGGGGGACCUUCGGGCCUCAUGCCAUCAGAUGUGCCCAGAUGGGAUUAGCUAGUAGGUGGGGUAACGGCUCACCUAGGCGACGAUCCCUAGCUGGUCUGAGAGGAUGACCAGCCACACUGGAACUGAGACACGGUCCAGACUCCUACGGGAGGCAGCAGUGGGGAAUAUUGCACAAUGGGCGCAAGCCUGAUGCAGCCAUGCCGCGUGUGUGAAGAAGGCCUUCGGGUUGUAAAGCACUUUCAGCGGGGAGGAAGGCGAUAAGGUUAAUAACCUUGUCGAUUGACGUUACCCGCAGAAGAAGCACCGGCUAACUCCGUGCCAGCAGCCGCGGUAAUACGGAGGGUGCAAGCGUUAAUCGGAAUUACUGGGCGUAAAGCGCACGCAGGCGGUCUGUCAAGUCGGAUGUGAAAUCCCCGGGCUCAACCUGGGAACUGCAUUCGAAACUGGCAGGCUAGAGUCUUGUAGAGGGGGGUAGAAUUCCAGGUGUAGCGGUGAAAUGCGUAGAGAUCUGGAGGAAUACCGGUGGCGAAGGCGGCCCCCUGGACAAAGACUGACGCUCAGGUGCGAAAGCGUGGGGAGCAAACAGGAUUAGAUACCCUGGUAGUCCACGCCGUAAACGAUGUCGAUUUGGAGGUUGUGCCCUUGAGGCGUGGCUUCCGGAGCUAACGCGUUAAGUCGACCGCCUGGGGAGUACGGCCGCAAGGUUAAAACUCAAAUGAAUUGACGGGGGCCCGCACAAGCGGUGGAGCAUGUGGUUUAAUUCGAUGCAACGCGAAGAACCUUACCUACUCUUGACAUCCAGAGAACUUAGCAGAGAUGCUUUGGUGCCUUCGGGAACUGUGAGACAGGUGCUGCAUGGCUGUCGUCAGCUCGUGUUGUGAAAUGUUGGGUUAAGUCCCGCAACGAGCGCAACCCUUAUCCUUUGUUGCCAGCGGUUCGGCCGGGAACUCAAAGGAGACUGCCAGUGAUAAACUGGAGGAAGGUGGGGAUGACGUCAAGUCAUCAUGGCCCUUACGACCAGGGCUACACACGUGCUACAAUGGCAUAUACAAAGAGAAGCGACCUCGCGAGAGCAAGCGGACCUCAUAAAGUAUGUCGUAGUCCGGAUUGGAGUCUGCAACUCGACUCCAUGAAGUCGGAAUCGCUAGUAAUCGUAGAUCAGAAUGCUACGGUGAAUACGUUCCCGGGCCUUGUACACACCGCCCGUCACACCAUGGGAGUGGGUUGCAAAAGAAGUAGGUAGCUUAACCUU
RNAcentral lists this ribosomal RNA (1434 nucleotides) under Klebsiella pneumoniae subsp. rhinoscleromatis ATCC 13884. RNAcentral's name for it is "16S ribosomal RNA". It matches the Rfam family "Bacterial small subunit ribosomal RNA". The record is from RNAcentral. Lineage: Bacteria; Pseudomonadati; Pseudomonadota; Gammaproteobacteria; Enterobacterales; Enterobacteriaceae.